This 404-nucleotide ribosomal RNA is filed under the name uncultured bacterium. Its description in RNAcentral is "bacterial SSU rRNA". It matches the Rfam family "Bacterial small subunit ribosomal RNA", at positions 355 to 775 of the family's 1533-position model. The record is from RNAcentral.
UGAGGAAUAUUGCACAAUGGGCGCAAGCCUGAUGCAGCAACGCCGCGUGCGGGACGACGGCCUUCGGGUUGUAAACCGCUUUUCUGAGGGACGAGCGAGGACGGUACCUUGGGAAUAAGUCUCGGCUAACUACGUGCCAGCAGCCGCGGUAAAACGUAGGAGGCGAGCGUUAUCCGGAUUUACUGGGCGUAAAGCGCGCGCAGGUGGCCGUGUAAAUUGGACGUGAAAGCUCCUGGCUUAACUGGGAGAGGUCGUUCGAUACUGCGGGGCUUGGGGUUGGGAGAGGGGUGUGGAAUUCCCGGUGUAGUGGUGGAAUGCGUAGAUAUCGGGAGGAACACCUGAGGCGAAGGCGGCACCCUGGCCCACACCUGACACUGAGGUGCGAAAGCGUGGGGAGUAAACAG